UGGUGACAACUUUUCUUCAUUUUUUUUCCCUUUUGUCUGACUAUGAUUUAUUUCUACUGAAGUUGACCACCAUUACUGCUGUGAUUCAUAGAUCUACAUGUUUUUGUAAAUUUCACUUGGUAUUUUGUUCCGAUCUAGAGCUGUGUGCUGCUAUUAUGAUUUUAAUGUAACCGUGACUGGGUUGUCUGGAUUGUGUUUUCAUGUCAAGUAAGAGUAUGGAUUUUGCAGCGAUCCUGGAUCUCAUCUGUUUAUUUCCUGAUUUAAAGAACUUCUUUGUGUGAUUUCUCUUAUGUUGCUAACUUUGGAAAUCAAAGUUCCAAUCAUCAAACGAACUUGUGCUAGCAGUUUAGAGGAGGUUGCUCUCAAUACAGAAAUCUAAAAACAUCUUUGAGCAUGGCCUACUUUCAGAAUAUUUUACUGAAAAUUAGUAUUGUUAUGUGAUGAAUAGUAUAAUCAUGGGAAUAAAUCAUAUUAGGCAGUCCUGACUAAGAAGUAUGCAUGCUGGUGGGUGCUUCCAUGUGUUGAUUAGUCAACUAAUUACCAUAUUUAUGUCAUGCAGUAAUUUUAAUGAGGGAUCAGUGCUAUGAGCCCGCAUAUUCCUACGAAAUCAAAAGAACAUGGCGUCGCAUAGUUUAUCAUGUCAUUAACUGGCAGACAGAUUAACAGAAAACCUACAGUAAUGAGUUUUUUUAUGCUCUUUUUUUCUUAUGUAGUUUUUCUUUUUUAGUGGGAAAGAAGGGGCACUGCUGGUAUUUCCUUGUUGAUGCCAAACUUAUUUUUAUUGAUCAUACAGUGAUUGCAGUGUAGUGAAUUGCUUUAGUAUUGGAGACAUAGAUGCCUAUAGCCUGCAAUGCCUGCAAUAUUGACCUUAUAAAUUAUCAAUAUAAUCUACAUGGUGAAGUUUGACUUCCAGGGAUUUUCUGAUGCUUGCCUAUUCUAUUUUCUCUCUUGGUUUGCCUUGAGGCAUGAGCUUCAUAAAAUUUUUACCUCUGAAGUUUCUGUUUUCUGCCACUUAUAAAGAAAUACUACACUUUCCAGAUUCUUUGGGCUUCAUAUCUGUUUGUAACCAGGAUUUUAAAACUCGGUUUGGUCUCCAAGUUAAGCUUUGGUUUUGGUAGUUUCACUCUAAGUUUCAAAGUUUUGGUAAAGUGAAGAAAAAAUCCAUAAAAAAUAAAAAUUAGGAUAAAUAAAAGAAACUGAGGCAAGUUAUUUUACAUCAUUUUAUUAUGUUUUGAGUUAUUUGCAGUGAUAAUUUGUGCAGCUUAGGUAGUUUUAGGCUGAAAAUUCUUGUACCCUCUAAUAAUUUCCCCUCAGAGAUUUUUUUUCACCCUUUUGGAAGUUUGAGGAUUAUAUAUCUUCAAACUACUAAAACAAACCUAUCUAUUCAAUUAGAAACUUAGGAUAGACUGAGGAUAGAGACACUACACACCAGGUAGAAUCCUAUCUCUAAUGUCCUUAAUAGUGACUGCAAGUAGCCCUUUAUUUAUCAAUAAUCACAUGCUAUCAACAAACAAAUGAGUAUAGAUAGAGAUAGAAAAGCAAAAAAAAAAAAAGGCAUUCCGGGUUGUCGAGCCUAACCACCCCUCUUUUUUCUCUUCUUUUUCUGCAGCAUCUAAGCUUUGUUGUAAUGUUUCAAAUUUGAAAUCACAUUUCAUAAAAAAAUUGAGAUCACAUAAAUGUCUUAAUGCCUGAUGAUCGAUGCGGUAAUGAAUAAAUUUGUGUUUGAAUGAAAUUAUUGAUGAAUAAUAUUAAUGAUUAAAUGAUAUUAAUGAGUUUUAUAAAAUAGUAAGCACAUUUACUCUGGCAAUUUGAAAAAAGGAAAAAAAAACAAAAACAGCUGUUUCGGUCAGUUUUGGCUAAAACUGACCAGAACCAACCGAAACCGACCGAAACUGACAGAAACUUGAAACUCUCUUGUAACACAAGCCUUCUAUUCCGUAAAACUGGUCUUACUUUUGUGAACAAUUGGAGAGAUUUUGCUUCAUGUAGAUAGACAUCAAUAAGAAGGUAAGGAAGAGCAUCACAUGUUUUGAAACUGGUUUUGAAUGUUUUGUUUUAGCUCCACCCUAAAGAAGUUUCACUUUCUAAACCUUCUAAAAGUAUGUGCAACAACUCAUUGGGAAUAUUGAAUAAGUUAUCAUCAGCUGAAAUCUUACGAACUUCAGUACUAAGCCUUAACUAAGAGGCUUUACCUGUCUCUCUGGGUCUGGUUUUAUGAUCCUCAUGUAUUGGGUUGUGCUCUGAUCACCAUUAAUGUUUGUGUUCUUUUUUUAGUUUUGUAACUUUUGGGUGAAUUUCAGAUUUCAUUAACUGGAAAAGAGACCUGGAGUCGUCAUCUCUGUUGUAUCUACCCUUGACAUACCUUAGAGGACUUGCAUCCUAAAUUUACCAGAUAAAUUUAGGGAAGGAUGUCUGCUAAACCAUGGAUACUUACAAAUCACAUCCCUUUCACUGUUUUCGCUCCCCUCUAACCAAAAAAAAAAAAACACAAGAACUGCUAAGGGACAAGGGAAAACAGUGCUGCUUUUCCCAGGUCGAUGUUUGGAAUUAUAUCAAUCUAUAGAAAGGAAAGUCACAAAUUAUUGUGCUUGGUUUUUCAAUACUGAAGAUAAAAGGAAGCAUUUUAUGGACAUCUGAACCUGGAAUAUUUAUUCUCCUUUUUUGUUUAACUUCUUGGUUUUCAUAUAUGAUGUUGAUCUAUUAACUCCCUGCUUAUUUCAGGUCCAAGCUCUUGUUGGUUUCGAAAAGACCAUCAAGCAUCUUGAUGAACAUUUAGUGGAAAUUGGCACAAAGGUUUGCAAAUAACCAUGAUCUUGGUCAGCCAUAUGAACUUGUCAAUUUUCCUCCACUUUUUAAAUGAUUUGGUCAAAAUUUGCAGGGAAUCACUAAACCUAAAGAGGUGAGGAAGUUCAAAGGGGAAGGCAUGCCUUUGCACCUAAGUACAAAGAAAGGAGAUUUGUAUGUGACGUAUGAAGUUUUGUUCCCCAAGUCACUAACCGAAGAUCAGAAGACUAGGAUCAAGGCAAUUCUUUCUUAAAGCUGGCGUUCUCUCCAUUGGUACUACUUGGUUCUCCUUUGUACUUUGACUAGGUUUAAUUGGAAGGUGUACAGCCCCUGGAAUUUUCCCAAGUGGCUCCUAUUUGAAUGAUGUCAUUGACUGUAAUCCUUGUUGGCUGCCUGUUUCCAUAGGAUGCUGUCACCUCUUCUCUUUUUUUCCCCCUUUCUUUUUUUUUAAAAUUUUUUUGGGCAAUAGAUGUACUUUAGAAAAGGAAACUGAUUAAUUGGAAUUUGAUCCUGAUCUUUCUCUCCCUUAUCUCAACUAGGGCGAAAGAAAAACAUAUAUUAUAGAAUCAUGCUUGGUUAUGUAAUUCCAUUUCCACGAGACAAUUUAUGUGGACACUGCUCUCAAAAUGUAUCCAAAAUGAUGAAUUAAGAUUUUCCUUGUUAUAUUUUGUUCAUUGUUAUAUUCAUUGUUUGGCUGGUUGAUAAUCUUGUUCUUCCCAUUUAUUCUCUUUUUAUUUCUCUUUGUUGGUCUAAAAAUCCUAUUAGUUAAUGUAGAACAUGCCGUGUCAUCCUUUGUAGUAUGACAUUGAUGGUUUUGCUACAUUAUGAUCUUAUUAUGUCUCCUUUGAGAUGUGGAUAUGUAAGUAGAUUUAGGCUCAAUGCUGAAAGAUCUUAUUGAACUCCUGUUAGCGAUCAGCAUCCAGGUGACAAACCAGUCCCCAAAUCAUGAAAUCAUCUUGAAAAAGGGAUGAGUUAUCUUUGAAGACCACUGAUUUGUUGUUCGCUGGCAGCUCUAAUCUCUAUUGAAUGGUGCCAUAUUGAUAUAUUUUUUGAGAUAGAACCUGAGAUAGAAUCCUGAUCUCCUAGCAUUCAAAGCACUCAAGGGCAAGGGUGCUGAUAUGCGAAGAUGCUUUGGUACAUAUUUUGUAAUCUAUCCACCAGCCGGCUGCUGAUGCCCAACUCGUUCUUGCCAGGGGGAUGGACAAAUUAUCCAACAUUUAACCUGCAUAGCCUGUGUACUGCUGAUUGCUUAUUUAACCCUCUUGCCUGCAUUGCAAGACCAUAUUUAUUAGAGUUGUUUGUAUUAUUUGUUUCUGUUUUUUUUUCCUUUUCCUUCUUAUAGCUGUUUAGGUAAAAUCAAAUAAAUAUAAAGNNNNNNNNNNNNNNNNNNNNUUAUUGUCAUGCAGUAAUUUUAAUGAGGGAUCAGUGCUAUGAGCCCGCAUAUUCCUGCGAAAUCAAAAGAACAUGGCGUUGCAUAGUUUAGCAUGUCAUUAACUGGCAGAUAGAUUAACAGAAAACCUACAGUAAUGAGUUUUUUGAUGCUUCUUUUUUUCUUAUGUAGUUUUUCUUUUUUAGUGGGAAAGAAGGGGCACUGCUGGUAUUUCCUUGUUGAUGCCAAACUUAUUUUUAUUGAUCAUACAGUGAUUGCAGUGUAGUUGCUUUAGUAUUGGAGACAUAGAUGCCUAUAGCCUACAAUGCCUGCAAUAUUGACCUUAUAAAUUAUCAAUAUAAUCUACAUGGUGAAGUUUGACUUCCAGGGAUUUUCUGAUGCUUGCCUAUUCUAUUUUCUCUCUUGGUUUGCCUUGAGGCAUGAGCUUCAUAAAAUUUUUACCUCUGAAGUUUUUGUUUUCUGCCACUUAUAAAGAAAUACUACACUUUCCAGAUUCUUUGGGCUUCAUAUCUGUUUGUAACCAGGAUUUUAAAACUCGGUUUGGUCUCCAAGUUGAGCUUUGGUUUCGGUAGUUUCACUCUAAGUUUCAAAGCUUUGGUAAAGUGAAGAAAAAAUCCAUAAAAAAUAAAAAUUAGGAUAAAUAAAAGAAACUGAGGCAAGUUAUUUUACAUCAUUUUAUUAUGUUUUGAGUUAUUUGCAGUGAUAAUUUGUGCAGCUUAGGUAGUUUUAGGCUGAAAAUUCUUGUACCCUCUAAUAAUUUCCCCUCAGAGAUUUUUUUUCACCCUUUUGGAAGUUUGAGGAUUAUAUAUCUUCAAACUACUAAAACAAACCUAUCUAUUCAAUUAGAAACUUAGGAUAGACUGAGGAUAGAGACACUACACACCAGGUAGAAUCCUAUCUCUAAUGUCCUUAAUAGUGACUGCAAGUAGC
RNAcentral lists this long non-coding RNA (5104 nucleotides) under Phoenix dactylifera (date palm). RNAcentral describes it as "long non-coding RNA (PDAC_LNC002960)". Lineage: Eukaryota; Viridiplantae; Streptophyta; Magnoliopsida; Arecales; Arecaceae. The record is from RNAcentral.